This 588-nucleotide ribosomal RNA is filed under the name uncultured bacterium. RNAcentral describes it as "bacterial SSU rRNA". It matches the Rfam family "Bacterial small subunit ribosomal RNA", at positions 125 to 731 of the family's 1533-position model. The record is from RNAcentral.
CCUGCCUCAUACUGGGGAAUAACAGCCGGAAACGGUUGCUAAAACCGCAUAAUAUGCUAGCAUCGCAUGAUGUCUGCAUUAAAUAUUAAUAGGUAUGAGAUGGGCCCGCGUCUGAUUAGCUAGUUGGCGGGAUAAAAGCUCACCAAGGCUUCGAUCAGUAGCCGGCUUGAGAGAGUGACCGGCCACAUUGGGACUGAGACACGGCCCAAACUCCUACGGGAGGCAGCAGUGGGGAAUAUUGCACAAUGGGGGAAACCCUGAUGCAGCGACGCCGCGUGAGUGAAGAAGUAUUUCGGUAUGUAAAGCUCUAUCAGCAGGGAAGAAAAUGACGGUACCUGACUAAGAAGCCCCGGCUAACAACGUGCCAGCAGCCGCGGUAAUACGUAGGGGGCAAGCGUUAUCCGGAUUUACUGGGUGUAAAGGGAGCGUAGGUGGCAAAUCAAGUCAGAUGUGAAAGCCCGGGGCUCAACUCCGGGAUUGCAUUUGAAACUGGUAUGCUAGAGUGCAGGAGAGGUAAGUGGAAUUCCUAGUGUAGCGGUGAGAUGCGUAGAUAUUAGGAGGAACACCAGUGGCGAAGGCGGCUUACUG